Molecule: ribosomal RNA, 468 nt
Filed under: uncultured bacterium
Lineage: Bacteria
Description: partial 16S ribosomal RNA
Rfam family: Bacterial small subunit ribosomal RNA
Source: RNAcentral
GACGAACGCUGGCGGCGUGCUUAACACAUGCAAGUCGAACGGAAAGACCCUGCUUUUGUGGGGUGCUCGAGUGGCGAACGGGUGAGUAACACGUGAGUAACCUGCCCUUGUCUUUGGGAUAACUUCAGGAAACUGGGGCUCAUACCGGAUAGGAGCUCCUGCUGCAUGGUGGGGGUUGGAAAGUUUCGGCGGUUGGGGAUGGACUGGCGGCUUAUCAGCUUGUUGGUGGGGUAGUGGCUUACCAAGGCUUUGACGGGUAGCCGGCCUGAGAGGGUGACCGGCCACAUUGGGACUGAGAGACGGAGCAGACUCCUACGGGAGGCAGCAGUGGAGAAUAUUGCACAAUGGGCGGAAGCCUGAUGCAGCAACGCCGCGUGCGGGAUGACGGCCUACGGGUUGUAAACCGCUUUCGCCUGUGACGAAGCGUGAGUGACGGUAAUGGGUAAAGAAGCACCGGCUAACUACGUG